Molecule: ribosomal RNA, 220 nt
Filed under: Aurantiochytrium limacinum
Lineage: Eukaryota; Bigyra; Thraustochytrida; Thraustochytriidae
Description: partial Eukaryotic small subunit ribosomal RNA
Rfam family: Eukaryotic small subunit ribosomal RNA
Source: RNAcentral
CCUUAGAUGUUCUGGGCCGCACGCGCGCUACACUGAUGGAUUCAACAAGUUUACUAUUUUAUAGUUGUCCUUGGUCGGAAGGCCUGGGUAAUCUUUUAAAUGUCUAUCGUGAUGGGGCUAGAUUUUUGCAAUUAUUAAUCUCUAACGAGGAAUUCCUAGUAAGCGCAAGUCAUCAGCUUGCGUUGAUUACGUCCCUGCCCUUUGUACACACCGCCCGUCG